This 122-nucleotide small RNA is filed under the name Clostridium neonatale. Its description in RNAcentral is "Ribosomal protein L10 leader". It matches the Rfam family "Ribosomal protein L10 leader". From Rfam's summary of the family: This family is a putative r-protein leader autoregulatory structure found in B. subtilis and other low-GC Gram-positive bacteria. It is located in the 5' untranslated regions of mRNAs encoding ribosomal proteins L10 and L12 (rplJ-rplL). A Rho-independent transcription terminator structure that is probably involved in regulation is included at the 3' end. Lineage: Bacteria; Bacillati; Bacillota; Clostridia; Eubacteriales; Clostridiaceae. The record is from RNAcentral.
AAAAGAAUAAAUUUUUCCGUAGACAGUAGGUGCGAAAGCAUAAAAGGAUAACUACCUACCGAGGUAUAUAAUAAUUAGUUAUUAUAGAUCUUCCUGUCUGCGGGAAGAUCUUUUUAAAUAAA